Molecule: long non-coding RNA, 3490 nt
Organism: Peromyscus eremicus (cactus mouse)
Lineage: Eukaryota; Metazoa; Chordata; Mammalia; Rodentia; Cricetidae
Exons: 2
Source: RefSeq, a predicted model, not a curated record
CAUCUGCAAACUUGUGAUACAUUUUAAAGUGACCUUUGCUUGGUUUAGCGAUGCCUUUGUGCACGUCUUUACUGUUACUUUGUGCCUUGGCCACUUAGUGAAUCAACCCGUGCCCACUCAUAUGGACAGUCAAGGGGACAAUUCAGGGCAGUAGAGAAAUGGGCAGCAGCAAAAAGAGCUUUUGAGCCAGAAUACCUGGAUGCUAAUUCCUGGUUCUGUGGGACUUGUGUGUUUGGGGAGCCUACUUAAAUUUUUGAGCUUCCUUUGACUUCUGUAGAAAGAAGUAGGUGAUUCCUGUCUGGCCUUCUGUAUGGGUAGUGGGAGGGUCAAGUGAAGUCAUGAACAUGGGUAUAAUUUUGAACUUUAGUGAAGUGGCAACUGCAGAUGUCCUUGCCUCUAUGAGCGUAUGCUGGUGUGCUUAACACCUAGCAUAGCAGCCUGUUUCAUAGACCAAGUCCAUUUCAGAAGGAUCCAUUUCCUUCCUCACUCUGACUGCCUUACCUGCUUGGCUUCGUGGAGGUCACCAUUCCAUCAAGAUUAGAAUGCUUGCUUUGUUUUGCUGAUAGUGGUAACAUGUUUUCUCUUCUUCUGUUUUUUAAUUUGAUUAGGAAAUUUGUACAUAGAUUCCAGGCAAAAUCUCCCUCCUUCGGUGAUGCCGCCCCCUGGUUAUCCUCAUAUCCCACAGGCGCUCAGCACUCCAGGAACUACGAUGGCAGGCCAUCACGGAGCCAUGAACCAGCAGCACAUGAUGCCUUCCCAAGCCUUCCAGAUGCGGCGCUCUUUGCCUCCAGACGAUAUCCAGGAUGACUUUGAUUGGGAUUCAAUAGUGUAGGCUUGUUUCUGCAAGACAGCAGACUCCAGCAUCCUUUCUGUUCAGUGGAAGGAAGGACUAGAGUCCAGUUGAGAAAACAAAGCGAUGUUACCAGUGCUAUCUAAAUUCCUUUUGAAGACAAUCAGAGAUUCUAGCUGGGUAACUUACUGCUUUUAUCUGACCCAAGCAAGAACACGUUUGUCUCCCGCCAGUGCCCUCUGUAGCUCCUAACUGUUGUGAUUUGGACAGCUUUUUGCAUAUUUGUGUCAGUUUGAUGUUAACCACAAGUGCCAGACUGAUUUUUCAGACAGAGCCUAUUUUGCUGCAAGCAGUUUAUAGAUACAUAUGUGUAAAUACAUGUACAAACAUUACUGAAAGGCUUCAAGGUUUUUUUCUAAUUGGAUUAUUGUGUCUUGACAAGAAAGUUACUGUCAGUUUUUAUUCUUCUUUAGGCCAUUUUCUGCAGGAUGCUUUCAGACGAUGUAGGGAGCUGAAAGGAAAUGGGUCUUUCCAAAGCCCAGUUUCCUUAUUUAAUAUUCAGAAAUAGGAGUAAUCAUGAAUUCCAGCGAGUAAGUCAAGGAACCUGGAGUUGGUACUCUCCGCAGUGCAGAGGGUCUGUUGUUCUUGAGCAGGCUUAUAACGCAGGGAGUUGUAGACUGUGUGUUGUUUGUAUCUGUCAGUGUGUUUCCUCAGCCGCAUUUGGACAGCUCUGAAAUGUGUGGACAGAUUGAAGCUGGAUAUUGCUUGGCUCUUCAGACAAAUCAAUGUCUCCACAUUCAUUUAAGUAUUUAUUAUUCAGAAGUGUUAUUUUAAUAUUUAUUGCUACUUUCUGUGAAUGCACAGCUCUUUUGGGUUCACUAGGGAGAAACUUGUCUGAAAGCAUAUUUUUUUUCCAGAUAAAAGUUUACAGACAAAGACAAUCAGAAACAUUUGUCAUUCUCUUUAUCACCACUCCUUUUACCAAGUGAGUAUGCUUUCUAUCUUAUUUAGCCGUCCUGCUGUUGGAGACUUAAUAGCUACCUAGGAAUUUCCUGGAAUCUGAAUCAGAGUCUGUUUAGGCAGCAGGGUAUGGAGGCAGGUUUAUACAGCAGUGUCCUCGGGGUUUUAGGUAACGCUGGAAGGGCCUGUAGCUCCAGAGUCUGUCUGCUGACGUGCUGGUGGGUCUGUGUGCCUGACAAAGAAACACUUAGAGCUUUUAUCAGUUGCUUGUUCGUGUUAUAUCACAGUUUGCAUGGGUUGAUUGUGUUGAUUUUAUAAUGAAAGUAGAAGAAAGGAGAUUCUCCUCCCCACAGUGAAUAGAUUUUUAAUUGUUCUUUUCAAAGAAUCUGUUUUAAUGAGGAAAUAGUCUGUCAAAUCAAGGAAAAAUAACUGCUCACCAGUUGCUUGUUAGUGUCUCUGGGCUCAGCAAUGGUAAAUCAUGUAACUAAGCCUCAGCAAGUCUAUGGUUGAGUAAUCUCUACUUGAAGAAAGGUGUGUGUGUGUGUGUGUGUGUGUGUGUGUGUGUGUGUAAGUGUAAGAGAGAAAUAUUGAUCGAUUUCUAUCUGUGUACUCAUGGAGUGUUGCCUGGAAUGAAUCACUGAGAAGAAAGCAGAGCUUUGUGCAUCUCUGUUGUUUGGGUCCCACUUGGCAUGAAAAGGAAGCUCAGGUACAGCCCCUCAGAUAAGUGAAAAUCAGAGGAUUCUCAAACAGCAGCCAACAGGCCUCUCUUAGAAGGACCAGGGAAGAUGAGGUAGAUGGCUACCUGCAGAAGAAAGCAUAGGAAGAUGGGGUCCCAGUAGUUUACCCAAGUCUCGGUUUUCUCAACACCAGAACAGCUGCUCCAUGACUAGGAUUGCUCCUAGCAGUGUGCACUUUAAAUAAUUGGGUGUUGAGUACUGCAGGCUCUGAAACAGAAUGGCUUGGGUAGGACCACUGAUGAUGAUUUUACAAAUUAUGUGAAGCUAAUAUCCCAUUUUGGCAAUUAUUUACUGAUUUGCAGUGAUUUGCAUAUUUAUUAAUAUUUGAACUGACCAAGAAUGGCACUUGAGACCAGACUCAUUACUCUUCUGUGACCCUGUUCCCCAGGGGCUCAGAGCAGGCCCCAGUGGGCUGUGGCCAGACAGGGCUACCUGGUGGGUGCAGAGUCCCUCUAGUGGCCAUUUCUGUUGGUAAUUGAUGAUACAGAGCAAGUUCUCUUAGGCUUAAAUUGACUGGAGACUAAUAACCGUACGUAAACAGAUGAGGUGCUCUGUCCAGGAGAAGAGUCCGACUGGCAUUUGUGGUAGUGUUUGAAAUGUAAAUGUAUUCUUGUGUGUUCCUGUAAAUAUUUAAUACACGUCUCUCAAAUGUCCUUUGAAGUGGGAGGGGAUCGACCUUGGGAUAAUUUCAAAUGGAAUAGAGUAUUUUGAUAUGUUCAUCGAGAGGGUGAUGUGUACAUACCUAUAUUGUAUAGAUGUGGUGACAUGCAUUGGCUUUUGUGCAGAAACAACCUGCUCUCUGUGCUGCUGUUGGACAGUCAGUGUUUUAAUGUUUCUACAGUUUUCCUAUUGCACGAUUUCAUAUUCUGCCGAUGGUGAGUGGCACCCAUUCUUUGUAACCGUUUAGUGCUGUAAAGAAAUAUUCCAAGUGUCAUUAGGAUCGUCGCUGCCAGAACUGAUAUGCAUGGAUGGCACUUAAAAUAAAUAUAUUAUGAUAACUGUA